GUGGGGAGGGGGGAAAUCGCGCUCAGGCUCGGUUCAAGGCAACCAUGCCUAGUGUGAGUACACCCUAACUCAGGAACACACUGCUGGGAUGUGGAGGUUAAAGAGUUUCUGCUGGAUUCACGGAGUAACUAUAGCAUCAAACCAAAGGAAGGGAUGUGAUUGUUUUAACACUGAUGUCUAGAGUGUGGAGUAUGAACAGGAAGGACUGUCUGAACCAUCUGGCUUUUGUAAUAAACGAAAGCUUGAUCAUGUUUGGAAUGCAGUGUAAGCUUUGCAAAUUUGCCCACAGUAUACUAGCAGAGAGGUCCUCUUGAAACAUUACAGGUUUCACCACUAUCAAGGGUGAUCCUGGAAGCAGCCUUGCUUGUUACUGACUGCAUCUGCACUUUCAAAACCGUAGGUGCCUUAAAAUCUCAUUUGAUAAGAGCACACAAACAGAGUGCUGCAGUUAAAGAGCACUUUAAUUUUUCAUACCUCAGAUAUCCUUGCUCAAAGAAAGGCAACAGCUCUCAAAGGGCUCCCUGUGUUUAUGAGGGAAAAGUCAGAAAACGUCCUGAAGACCUGCCUGGUUUUCUCCUCUGCUAUUGACGCUUGCUGGUUGGUGCGAGAUGCAUUCUGGGAUACCUGGCUGUCUCAAGUCCGCAGAAGUCACCUCUUGAUGCAUCCUCGAUAAAAGGGACGGAUCAAGAACACAUCCGGGUCAAACUUCAAGAGUUUUAAACCUAAACUCUAGUGUUGAUUCAUCAUUCUUACACAUCAGCUGAUUUGGUAUUUCAUCACUUAUAUAGAUCAGUUCUGGUGGCUGUUUGCUCUCUUCGUCGUCAUCAUCAUCAUCUUCAUCAAUCUUGAUGUGUUCCAGAAAAGGAUCUUCAAGUGAGUCCAGAAGCUUUAAUUGUGUCAGAAAGAGUCAUGAAAACUAAAACUAAAAUAUGGUUAUUAAUGAGUACCAGUAAUGGGCACAAUAUGCUUUUUUUAUUGAUGCAAAUUACCCUUAUCUGUAAAUGUGCACUUUAUAAUUAUACAGCACAAUUUUAUAAUUUUCCAGUAAAGUAAAAUAGCCUAAUUUGUGAACCUCACUUUGAAAGCCUCUGUCCUAAACAGUAACCUAAAAUCUCUCUGAGUACAUGUAAAUACUACGAUAAAUAUAAUACUAUUUUAUUAAUAAGUAUCAUUCUGUGUUCAGAUGUUUUCAGAGAUCAGAGCUGAGCGUCUGUCAGCGCAAUGAUUUAGAAAACAGGAGUGAAUUUGACUGAAACACAUGUAAGAGCUGAUGAUGUUUUAAUGUACAGAUGAGGCAGAAGCUUUCUGAAUCUCCAUGUUAAAAGAAUCUGAAUGGAUCCCGAUUCUGGUGUUCCAAUAAAUCAUCUGGGCCAUAUACCUCAAUGCAAUAGUGAUCCCAAAAAACUUUCCUGUCCAUUCUAAAGCCAUGGCAAAACAUACGGUGAAACUUUGGCCCACAUGCGCUCAUGCCAUGCUAUAUAUCAGGCCAGUGUGCCAACUAUCUGCCACAUUUGGCCCAAAUGUUUGAUUAGCAGGUUUAUAAAGCAUCCAGUUAUGAUUGGAAUUUACUGUAUAACGCGGAAUGUCACGGAAUUUGGAUGAAUAAAUCGAAAGAGGUGUAUUACGAUUAAUCAAACUGAAAUUGCACCAUGAGCUGGUUAUUAAUUAUGAUUAUUAAUCUUGAACUGGUUUCAGUUCUCCGCCUUGUAAACAAUGCCUAAAUAAUGUCUUUUGCUCAGGAAGUUCAUUUAGAGUCGGUGAUUUUGCUCAAGUAGGUUAUUUUAGUUUUCUGCCACCACAUUGCGGCCGCAACUCUUAUUUUGUUUUGACUCAGUGCCACCCACUUCUAAAACAAGAGGGAGAAAAAUCCCCUAGUCUAAACCAACUUCAACAGCGUCAGGUCAUAUUGUCAAACUUAAGUCUUUCUCUUUUUGUUUUUUGUUAAAACAUGUCUUGGAAAAUAUUCCUUUUGUAAACAAUGUCUCUUGUAAACUGAAUAUAUAAUCUCAGACUUUAAAAUGGAGUCAGCUGACACUUCUCUUCUCACUAUUUCAAUAAAAAGCCUGCAUAUAUUAUUACUUUUGGGUUGAUAUACCUGCAUAGACCUACUUAAAAUCUAGGUAUUUGCAUGAAGCAUAUUUAACAUAUUCUAUGCAACAAAAUAAAACACAUGCUACAGUCUGCAACAUUUGAUGUAGUGAAGGGAAACCACUUAAAGGGAUGGUUCACCCGAAAAUGAAAAUUAUCCCACGAACACAAUCGGAGAUAUACCUAAAAAUAUCCUGGCUUUCCAAAGAUUUAUAAUGAUAGUGAACAGAAGGGUGUGUUUUGAAGCCCCCCAAAAAUGCAUCCAUCCAUCAUAAAAAAUAAUCCAUACAGCUCCAGUGGGUUAAUAAAGGCCUUCUGAAAUGAAUCAAUGAGUUUUUGUAAGAAAAAUAUCCAUAUAUUUCUGAAAUGCUUACAAACGUCCAUAGAUCCUUUUAGAAAUGAAUAAUUAUGUUGGCGUAUGAUAUAUUAUAUAAGAUGAUCCUCUUAACAUUUUUCCAGAAAUGUUUAAAUGCUUAUUCCAAUAAAAGCCUUGUCAUGCAAUAGUAAUA
Molecule: long non-coding RNA, 2597 nt
Organism: Ctenopharyngodon idella (grass carp)
Lineage: Eukaryota; Metazoa; Chordata; Actinopteri; Cypriniformes; Xenocyprididae
Exons: 5
Source: RefSeq, a predicted model, not a curated record